RNAcentral lists this ribosomal RNA (1656 nucleotides) under Channa micropeltes (giant snakehead). RNAcentral's name for it is "16S ribosomal RNA". It matches the Rfam family "Bacterial large subunit ribosomal RNA". The record is from RNAcentral. Lineage: Eukaryota; Metazoa; Chordata; Actinopteri; Anabantiformes; Channidae.
AAGCAGCUAGCCCCAUCACACAAAAUAAAACAAUCAUCAUAAAUACCCCCAAACACACGAACUAGAAAACCAACUAAACCAUUCUACCCCCUUAGUACGGGAGACGGAAAAGGAACCUGGAGCUAUAGAAAAAGUACCGCAAGGGAACGCUGAAAGAGAAAUGAAACAACCCAGUAAAGUUAAAAAAAGCAGAGACUAAAACUCGUACCUUUUGCAUCAUGAUUUAGCCAGAAAACUCCAAGCAAAGAGCACUAUAGUUUGACACCCCGAAACUAAGUGAGCUACUCCAAGACAGCCUAUUUUAGGGCCAACCCGUCUCUGUGGCAAAAGAGUGGGAAGAGCUUAGAGUAGAGGUGACAGACCUACCGAACUUAGUUAUAGCUGGUUGCCUAGAAAAUGAAUAUAAGUUCAGCCUCCCGGCUUCUCCACUCGCCCGUACUUAACCCCUUCGACACCCAAGAAACCGAGAGAGUUAGUCAAAGGGGGUACAGCCCCUUUGAAACAAGACACAACUUUAUGAGGUGAGUAAAGAUCAUAAUGCCCUAAGGAUACAUGUUUUAGUGGGCCUAAAAGCAGCCACCUGAACAGAAAGCGUUAAAGCUCAAACAUACCAACCUCCCUUUAAUCCUGAUAACCCAAUCUUAUCCCCCUCGCACCAACUAGGCUUUUCCAUGCUAACAUGGAAGCACUUAUGCUAAUAUGAGUAAUAAGAGAGAUACACCUCUCUCCUCGCACGCACAUACAUCGGAACGGACAAUCCACCGAACAUUAACCGGCCCCAAACAAAGAGGGUAAUGAGCAACUAACAAAUAACCAGAAGACCGCCCAAAAAUAACCGUUAAGCCCACACUGGCGUGCCCACAAGGAAAGACCAAAAGAAAAAGAAGGAACUCGGCAAACACCCUAGGCCUCGCCUGUUUACCAAAAACAUCGCCUCUUGUAAGCUAAAAAUAAGAGGUCCCGCCUGCCCAGUGACAACAAGUUAAACGGCCGCGGUAUUUUGACCGUGCAAAGGUAGCGCAAUCACUUGUCUUUUAAAUGAAGACCCGUAUGAAUGGCACAACGAGGGCCUAACUGUCUCCUUUUUCAAGUCAAUGAAAUUGAUCUCCCCGUGCAGAAGCGGGGAUAAGCCCAUAAGACGAGAAGACCCUAUGGAGCUUUAGACACCAAAACAGACUUUGUUAAACACCCCUAGAUACAGGGCAUAACCAAAAGGACCCUGCUCUGAUGUCUUUGGUUGGGGCGACCGCGGGGAAUGCAAAUCCCCCAUGUGGACUGGGAGAACCUCUCCUACAGCCAAGAGCUACAGCUCUAAGCAAUAGAACUUCUAACCUAAAGAUCCGGCAAAGCCGAUCAACGAACCGAGUUACCCUAGGGAUAACAGCGCAAUCCCCUUCUAGAGCCCAUAUCGACAAGGGGGUUUACGACCUCGAUGUUGGAUCAGGACAUCCUAAUGGUGCAGCCGCUAUUAAGGGUUCGUUUGUUCAACGAUUAAAGUCCUACGUGAUCUGAGUUCAGACCGGAGUAAUCCAGGUCAGUUUCUAUCUAUGAAAUGUUUUUUUCUAGUACGAAAGGACCGAAAAAAAGAGGCCCAUGCUCAAAGCACGCCUCACCCCUACCUAAUGAAAACAACUAAAUUGGGCAAAGGGACAUACC